GCCUGGGUGGCUCAGUCAGUUAAGCGUCCAACUUCAGUUCAGGUCAUGAUCUCAUGGUUUGUGGGUUUGAGUCCCACCUCAGGCU
Molecule: transfer RNA, 85 nt
Filed under: Felis catus (domestic cat)
Lineage: Eukaryota; Metazoa; Chordata; Mammalia; Carnivora; Felidae
Rfam family: tRNA
About the family: Transfer RNA (tRNA) molecules are approximately 80 nucleotides in length.
Source: Rfam by way of RNAcentral